This 5846-nucleotide long non-coding RNA is filed under the name Equus caballus (horse). RNAcentral describes it as "lncRNA (ENSECAG00000058771.1)". Lineage: Eukaryota; Metazoa; Chordata; Mammalia; Perissodactyla; Equidae. The record is from RNAcentral.
GAAAGAGUUCGGGAACAGGUAAGGGGCUUAUUUGCUAAGCCUAGAUGAGUCACUUGCUGGAUUAAAAACAUAUAUUCGUGAAGAACUAGUCAGAAAUGUGCCACGUCAAGACCCCAUUUGUUCCAGGCCAUGUUUUGAUUUAGGAAGCAGCCUAUUUGACAUGUCCGUGAAAAGGAAGAGUGUUGAUUCUUUCACUCAUGAAACUACAUGAACUUCCAGAGCUCUCCAAUCCCCAGAGCCUUGACCGGAGGAGACACAAAAGAAGUAGAGAGCGACCUUUGCUUUCAAGGAGAUUAUGAUUCAAUUUUGAAAGAGAAUGCAAAAUUGCCCAAACCUCCAUAAAUCAAGUGGGAGGAGGACUCCGUCUUAGAGGUGUUGAUCGGAUCAUCAUAGCUGGCCUGCACUCUGGAGUGAAGAUGGCCAGUGUUGGGCACAAUUAAUUCAUCCAUAGAAGGAAGAAGACAUUGAGGAAAAUAUCUCAAUGAAGUAAUGGAUUUAGAUGGUGUCAGGAACAUCUAAACAACACAGCACUUGCUUCUACAUCAAACGUGACAUUUGGCAUUGAGGCAGUCAAGAUAAGAUAUGCUCAGCAAGUCUGUGAAUGCCGAAUGCUGGGGAGCCCUGGAUUCCUGCAGAGUCAUUGAGAGGUUCGCCUUCACUGGCCUCUGUCUCCCAUGCAGGGACAAUUGUAUGAAAGCCCUUUCUCACCUCCAUCCGCCUCCAUGUGACCUUAUCCUUGGGCUGUUUCCUGUCUGCCCCACUGGUGACUGCUGGUCAGACUUUCUUAGGACGAAGCUUCCAGAGCUUUAUCUACUUCCUCUCCCGGCUGAUCAGGAGGUCUUAUUUGUGCAGCGAGUCUCCCUGAGCCUGAGACACAAGUUCUGAUAGACAACGCUGCCUUAUGAAGCGCCCAAGAUUGAUCAUGUGAAGUAGCACAAAAGAAGAAGCCUACUGUUUCUUCCCCAAAUGGAUUACUAUUAAAUUAAUAUGGAACAUUCUCUGAAGGUGCCAGAAAGGCCUUGGAGAGGAAUGAGCAUUAUAAUACUACCAGGAGAAUUGCAGCUCUUAAAAAUGGUCAUGGCCGCUCAAAGCCAUCUUGCUCCAUCUGGAGAGAGUCUAUGAAAGUCAUCAACUGCCACGUGGAAGCUUAAUAAGGAAGGGACACUGCUGAGUCCUACAUACAGAAAUUGGUAAGAUAGACCUGAGCUUUUGCUGGGAAGAGAGAGAGUGAGAAGAACUUUUCGCUGAAGAGACUUUCAAGGUGGAAGAUGUCCAAGUUGCUUUGUCUACAUGACGGUGGCCAGGAGAGUGAGGAAACCGAGCCCAAGAAGGUUUAGGAACUCUCCCAGUCUCACAUAGUUGAUCGGUGAUGGAGCCAGGGUAUAAAACUCAAAGCUUGUGAUUUAAUUACCAUACUCUAUUAUCUCGCUGUGUAACCACUAUUUAUGGGGUCCUUACUAAGCACCAGGCAACUUUAGAUGCCUUCUCUUGUAAGUGAUCUAGCAGCUCUAUAAGGACUUAAAUAGCUACAUAACUUACUAGCUGUGCGACUGCCAGUUAACGUGCCUGAGCCAUACUUACUUCAUCUCUCACAUAACACUAAUAGUACUUUUCGAUCUCUGCCCCACAAUUACUGUGAAGAAUUUAUGAGAGAAGGAAUAUGAAAAUAAUCUUUAAACCAGGAAGCACGAUGUAAUGGUAUACAUUGUAAGCGUGGAAACGUUAUUACUCCAUUAAUUAGAUAAUUUUCCAGAUGAGAAAUCUUAGGAAAAGAGAGGUAGAUGUAACUUCAGCCACAAGUGUCCCCUGUGUGUCAGGCACUGUCCUUAGCACCUGGUGGAGUGGUCUGCCCAAGGUCUCCUGGUUCAUUAGGGGCACAUCUGGAAUUAGAGUUGGGCGCGUUCCCUCGAGAUGGAGUGAAGAGUGCUUUCUAAGACAUUCCUUGUCCCAGAGGUGAGGUACUAAGCUGAAGAUGGUGAUACCCAAAGUUGCUGCUGAAUUUAAGAAUGGAAUUUAUUUCAUGCGAACUUUCCCUCCUGGAGUUUUAUACCAGUCUGGUUGCCUUUUGCCGGGCAUUGCCCUAGUCCUGCAGUAUUGUAUGAUUUUCCAGUGUAGUAGAUGAUAUCCAGAUUUCUUUAGCCUCUUUUAGAAAUUUCUUGCUAUAAAGUGCUGGAUCUGGAGCUUUUUAAUAUUCAAUCAUUGAUUUACUUUUUAAACAAAUGGAAAUGGAAGCAAGAUGUUUGGUUUGAGAACCUUCAUGGUUUGCCCAUGCCGAUUUUGCAGGUGCCCAAGUGCCACAUAUGUUUUCUUGGGGACACAGAGUCACAGAAAGCAAGGCUCAGGUCGCCACUUGUGUUUUUUAUCUGCUGGUAUGUACUCUAUGGGGAGAUAGAUGGUCUUCUGUCCUCUCUCCCAAAUAAUGAGACAGGAUACCCAGGGCACGAGUCAGCGACAAGGGCUCUCUGGAUUAUCUUCCCUCUUGCCGCUGGCUCUCACUGGACCCUCAGAGGGGGAGGAUCAUUAUCCUUCGCCGGACUGGAUGAUGUUUGGAAGAAUGUGGCUGCAGUAAGGAUAUAUUUGAGAUAAUGAGGAAGAGACUUAUACCAGGGAAACAAGGCUUUUCGUAGCGGGCCUCUGAGGCUCGGGCAAACAAACUCAAGGCUGAGCUAUUCGCAGCCAAUUUUUUAAAGUGAUAUUCAGGUAACAAUUUGAGCGAAUAGAAAAAUUAUUUUAGCAAAAAAUCUCAAAACAAAUCAAUGCAUAGACUAGAGAUGAGUAAUUUCAUGGGUUAGCGCAAAGCUAUUAACCAAUAACACGAAAGCAAAUUCCUAUUAUUAAAGAAUUCUAUUGCGAAGUUACAGAAAAUUCAUGACUUUCCUAGAAGGAAAAUGAGCACUUGUUUUAUUUACAUUAAAAAAAGUCAUGUUUAAGAUUCCUUACAAGUGGUAUGUGUGUUUAUGUAUGUGUAUGUAUUUAAUUAAACAAAUUAAUUAAAUUAAUUAAACAAAGUUUAACUUAAAUGUAUAUUUAAUUAAAAACAUGUAUUUAAUUAAAUACAUGCUUAAUUAAAUGUGGUUUAAUUUGUUUAUUCAUCUCAAAUUAUAGAGCAGUCUGUAGUUUAGAUGGGACAUGGUUUCUAUCAGUCUUGACCUGUUUUUCAGAUGUCUUAUUUUUUUGAAUGGGUAAGAGAAGAAGAGAUGGCAAUAAUAAUAAUAAAAUUAAUGAUAAUAGUAAUAAUAAUAACAUUUGUAUAGUGCUUUGCAGGGUUAAUCUCUUUUAAACUUCGAAACUCAGAGAGAGGGUUUUUGACCAGGGAGUCAGGCAGGCCAGGCAUUAUUAUCGUUAUUUUUUAUGAUUGAAUAUUUUUUUUAUCAUAGUCAUGUUAAAAAACUUAAAGUCAAAUAUUUUUGAAUUAAUAAAGCAAGUAGGAUUUUACUUACAAAACAUAACAGGUUUCUGGUAAAACACUGCCCUAGUUGGCAACACAUAUUAUGUGAGAAAGGCACGUGACACAGCUGUGUAUAAAGACUAGUGCGAGGUGGUUGCUUAGAAAACCCCAUUCUCUUCCUUCCCUGGGCAUGGCUGUGUCGUUAGUGCCUGGCGCUCUGCUAGGUCAUCUGGAGGAAACACAGUGUGUUUAGGACGUGCUGCAUGCCCUCAUGCUGUCUGUGAUCUGACUGGAAAGAAAGAGCAUGGCCAUCUCUGAAGCAGGAACUGUGGCUAGAGCUGCCCGGGUCAUGCACCCACCCUGGAGUUGUGGCGCAGGUAAGCCCACCCCAGCCACAUACACCGAGAGGGUGAAGGGCAGUUCCCCAAAGUAAAGUCAAACUAUCGUUUCCAGGUAAAAAGUGAAUGGAUUAUGGGCAACAGAUGUCCAUCCCAGGUGCUUCUUCUGAUGUCCCUAGAGUUAAAAAGUCCCAGGUGUUCCCACUCUCCAAAGCCCUCCCUGUUUCUCUCAACUCUCCUCUCUCCCAGUGCAAUUCUGUCAUUUCUAGUUGCAAAACGGAAUGCGUUUCCCCCAUAGAAACAGGGUUAUAAAUGCUGGUUAAGCGUAGUUAAUAUGGUACCAUUUUUAGUGUAUAGUUCAAAUACAUUAACUUUAAAGAGCCUUUUGUGGGUAGUUUUGAGGAUUUAACCAUAAUUUAUAAUACAGUGUCUAUGUGAAAAUAUGUGCUGAGAAACCGAACACUCAAACCAACAGACAAACUCUUGGAACGUAAGCUGGGCUUGUAGGAGUAUGAUUGAUGCUAAAUUGCGCAAUAGAACCUGGAAGGGCUGAGACUGCUCAGAGAAAGGGGAGUUCCGUUGGAGCUCUGUGGGCCUGGGGAAGGGGUGGGUACAUGAUGCUAUCAGUCCAUCAGCCUCUUGAUAGCAUCAAAAUCUGACUCAUGUUUCCCACAUAGCAUCCUGUGGAUAUAAGGGUGACCUGAGUCUCACGUCUCAGGGCCGCUGAUCUGGUGCUGACCAGAUAGCACUUCUUUCCUCUCCCGUUACCCCAACUAUGUCCCACCUGAAACUACAUCUUUACUUGAAAACGAGAGGAGGAAUAUAUUUUGAUUAAGAGGUCUUUUCUAUUUGUUUCAAACAUUUUAAAUACAAAAAUAUAAGAAAAUGUAAAAUGUUUUACAUAGAAUAUAAGAGUGAAAAUUCCCCCACCUUUACCCCAGUGCUGCCCCCCCGCAGUGAAGUAUUCACUGCUUCGUAUAUUUCAGGGCUCAUUUUAUAAAAUGAAUUUCUUAAUGUGAAAAUAAGUUACAUCUCCUAGUUUUAUCAACAUCAGGCAAUGUGGGCAGGAAAAGUGUCUAUAAUGGUUCAGGACUUUUCUGUUCCAGCCCAGUGGUUUAUUACAGUUUGAAUGGGAGUAGGCAUGGAUGUUGGGGAGACGGAGGGAGAAUUGAAAGAUGAGUAGAGUAAGUGUAGUUUGAGAGGUUCUACACGUCUAAUACGGUAUCUCCUCCUGCUUUGAAAAUCAUUGCUUCCUAUUUCAAAGUAGGCCAUACCUGACCUCUCCAUGGUUUACGGCACGUGUUCUUUAACUGAUGGCCUGUUUUUAAACAAUAUCACACCACUUAUUUAAGAAUGCUUUCAUUUUCUAAGUGUUUCACUAUUGCUUUCAUAAUUUUUCUUCUAUGUGUAUUAAACCCACGAUACGUUUUUUACUUUAGUUAUUUAUCUUUUGAUGGAACUAAAAAAAUUAAUAAGUAUUUUAUAUUUACCCACAUAUACACCAUUUCCUGCAGUCUUCAUUCUUUUUUUUAUGAUCCAAAUUUCCGUUUCAAAUUGAGGAGGUGACUGAAUGAAGCCUUGGUGAGUCUCGUGCACGGCAGGUGUUUGCAGAGAAGCAACCACAAGUUCCGGAUCCCCAGGCGGGAGUUGGUACAGAAGCACCGAGAGAAGUGGUGGACUGGGGGAGGCCUGUAGCCUAGACUGGAAAGCCAUGCACCACAGGACAUUCAGAUGGAGGUUGCGGUGGUGACCUGGACUGUAGUCAUGGUGACUGUCUGUUGAUGUGAUCAGGGGGUGGGGACUUUGAGCCACAUAUCAGUCUAACUUCUCACCCUCUGGGUUGGGUAGAGGGGGCUGGAUAUCGAGUUGACUCUUAUGGCCCGUGGUUCAAUCAAUCAUGCCUACAUAAUAAAACCCCAAUAACAACUCUGGACACUGAAACUUGGCAGAACAUCCAGGUUGUUGAACUCAUUGAUUUGCUGGCGGGAUGACACUGAUUCUAUGGGGAAAGGGCUCAUGAGUUCUACAAUUGGGACCCUUCCAGACCUCACCUUAUGUGUCCCUUCAUUUGACCGGUCCUGAUUUGUACCUUUUAUAAUAAAACUGUAAUUGUAAAUAUA